This 331-nucleotide ribosomal RNA is filed under the name uncultured bacterium. RNAcentral's name for it is "bacterial SSU rRNA". It matches the Rfam family "Bacterial small subunit ribosomal RNA", at positions 568 to 898 of the family's 1533-position model. The record is from RNAcentral.
CGCGUAGGUGGUAGUGCAAGUCUGAGGUGGAAUCUUAGGGCUUAACCCUAAAAAUUGCCCUGGAAACUGCAUUACUUGAGUCAGUGAGGGGAGGGUAGAAUUCCUGGUGUAGCGGUGAAAUGCGUAGAUAUCAGGAGGAAGGCCGGUGGCGAAGGCGGCCCUCUGGCGCUGAACUGACACUGAGGCGCGAAAGCGUGGGGAGCAAACAGGAUUAGAUACCCUGGUAGUCCACGCCCUAAACGGUGGGUACUAGGUGUAGGGCUCGUAAGGGUUCUGUGCCGAAGCGAAAGCAUUAAGUACCCCGCCUGGGGAGUACGGCCGCAAGGUUGAA